This 767-nucleotide ribosomal RNA is filed under the name uncultured bacterium. RNAcentral describes it as "bacterial SSU rRNA". It matches the Rfam family "Bacterial small subunit ribosomal RNA", at positions 8 to 819 of the family's 1533-position model. The record is from RNAcentral.
AGAGUUUGAUCCUGGCUCAGAACGAACGCUGGCGGCAGGCCUAACACAUGCAAGUCGAGCGCGGUCCUUCGGGACUGAGCGGCGGACGGGUUAGUAACGCGUGGGAACGUACCCUUUUCUACGGAAUAGUCUCGGGAAACUGAGGGUAAUACCGUAUACGCCCUUCGGGGGAAAGAUUUAUCGGUAAAGGAUCGGCCCGCGUUAGAUUAGAUAGUUGGUGGGGUAAUGGCCUACCAAGUCUACGAUCUAUAGCUGGUUUUAGAGGAUGAUCAGCAACACUGGGACUGAGACACGGCCCAGACUCCUACGGGAGGCAGCAGUGGGGAAUCUUGGACAAUGGGCGCAAGCCUGAUCCAGCCAUGCCGCGUGUGUGAUGAAGGCCUUAGGGUCGUAAAGCACUUUCGCCAGGGAUGAUAAUGACAGUACCUGGUAAAGAAACCCCGGCUAACUCCGUGCCAGCAGCCGCGGUAAUACGGAGGGGGUUAGCGUUGCUCGGAAUUACUGGGCGUAAAGCGCACGUAGGCGGACUAGUCAGUCAGAGGUGAAAUCCCGGGGCUCAACCCCGGAACUGCCUUUGAUACUGCUAGUCUUGAGUUCGAGAGAGGUGAGUGGAAUUCCGAGUGUAGAGGUGAAAUUCGUAGAUAUUCGGAGGAACACCAGUGGCGAAGGCGGCUCACUGGCUCGAUACUGACGCUGAGGUGCGAAAGUGUGGGGAGCAAACAGGAUUAGAUACCCUGGUAGUCCACACCGUAAACGAUGAAUGCCAG